GCAAACCAGUGACCUCAUUUGGCAUUCAGCAGAAUAAACAUAUACUGGUUUGGCCAGCAAGUUUGUACAAACUUUUUGGCCAACCCAUUACAUAUCUCUUGCAACACUGAAGGGAACACUGGAUUUUCUAGAGUUACAGAAGGAUAACAUGAAGGACUUCAAUCAUGUGACAAUGGAAGAGAUUUUUAAAGUCACAUAUGACUACAUAUAAUUUUUUCCAUCAUAACUAAAAGACCAGGGCAUCUUCCCAACCCAGAGGUCAACCUGCAUCUCUUGCAUCUCCUGUAUCAGCAUUGGCAAACAGGUUCCUUACCACUAUCACCACCUGGGAAGCCCAGGAAAGCCAGAUACAUUAGAGAUUAAUCAUAUAAACCGGGAGAGAUCUACAUUGGUGCAGCCAGGAGCUAAUUCUAAGGUGCCAGUGGCAUUUGGAGAUGCAGAGUUUUCAACCUUCAAAGCUACUGAGGUUCUUGAGUAUCUGACUGAACUGUCGGAUACCACAGAGAGACUGCAAGACUGAAAAGUAGCAAUGGCUUUGAUCAUUUGCUGAGAAUUUUAAAUGAACUUGUUAUCAUGCUCAUUUAGACGCUUUGGAAAAUGUAUUAUCGUUUAACCAGUUGAUUUAGGUAAGCUUACUGAAGAGUGCUUCACUUUGCACUUGUUGAACUUAAGGAUUGUUUAUACUUGCUUCCUUGGAACAAACACGUUCAUAGUCCAAAUUAUAAUGUGAUCUUUACUCUUCCUCCCCCUCCCGCCCCACUCUGGUGGUUUCCUACAGUUCAAAUAUGAAGACUUUCUCAUACUUUAGAUUACAAAAUUAUUGUUUACUGGUAAAAAAUGCCAAGGACCAUCCAUUGAUGGCAUCCCAUUGAUAUUCAACCAAAUGAACUCUGGGAGUAGUCUAGCGGAAUCCCAGUAAGUGAGAAAACAAACAUGACUUAUUCAGGAAAACAACAGUCAUUAACAGUGGAACCGAUGAUUACAGGGUGGUAAAACUGCUUUUUUUUUUUUCAGAACAGAUAGGUUAGUUAGAACAAAGUUAGUUAAAGGCUGACAGGCUGAAUUUUCUUGUGGUAAAUGCAG
Molecule: long non-coding RNA, 1083 nt
Organism: Bos taurus (domestic cattle)
Lineage: Eukaryota; Metazoa; Chordata; Mammalia; Artiodactyla; Bovidae
Source: Ensembl